Molecule: ribosomal RNA, 402 nt
Filed under: uncultured bacterium
Lineage: Bacteria
Description: bacterial SSU rRNA
Rfam family: Bacterial small subunit ribosomal RNA
Source: RNAcentral
UCGGGAAUUUUGGGCAAUGGGCGAAAGCCUGACCCAGCAACGCCGCGUGAGGGAUGAAGUAUUUCGGUAUGUAAACCUCGAAAGAAUGGGGAGAAUAAAUGACGGUACCAUUUAUAAGCUCCGGCUAACUACGUGCCAGCAGCCGCGGUAAUACGUAGGGAGCAAGCGUUGUUCGGAUUUACUGGGCGUAAAGGGCGCGUAGGCGGCGCGGUAAGUCACUUGUGAAAUCUCUGAGCUUAACUCAGAACGGCCAAGUGAUACUGCUGUGCUAGAGGGCGGAAGAGGCAACCGGAAUUCUUGGUGUAGCGGUGAAAUGCGUAGAUAUCAAGAGGAACACCUGAGGCGAAGGCGGGUUGCUGGGCCGACACUGACGCUGAUGCGCGGAAGCCAGGGGAGCAAACG